AAUCACUUGGAAGAACAUAUUUAUAUUCUCAAAAAUUAGAGAAGAUUUCAGCAAAUUGAAGAAAAAAAGGGGAAUAAAAAUAUAGAAAAGUUCAUGGCAUUUUCAACGCCAAUUGCUUUGAUUAAUGACUGCUCUGCUUCCGGUUUCUCUUUGUUUCCAGGGUCUUGUAGUUAAUUGGAUUUCUAGAGACGCACAAGUGAUUGAGGUACCACAUGGGAUUGGAACCAAUUCGUGCACCAAGGAGAACUGAAUAAUUCACGCAUUCUCAGCAUCCACCGUUUUCUAUUCCGAGUAGCAUAUUCGGAUAUCUCAAUUUCACCAAAGCCGGUUUCGUAAAACCCUGCCUGUGAUGGUGGCGGUUGUGGAGCAGCUUGGGGUGCAUUUGGUGAAUCUGGUUUGCUGGUUCUUCCUUGUGUUGCAGCACAUCUAAAUCAGAUUAUUAUGGACUCUUUCCUCCUUAACUUAUGGUUUCGGAAAGAAAUCUCAUCCAAGAAUGCCAAGGUCAACUGAGUAAAGGAGAAGAAUAUUUUUCGCGAGCAAUAUUCUUAGCAGAUCCCAAUGUGAUUGCUCUGUUGUAUGGAUCAAUUAGAUAGAAAUGGGUUAAUUCUUCACAAGGAAUUGAAAUGAGCCAAAUGAGCUAAUUGAACUAUUAACUCAAAUGCCCCUAAUAAAUUAAUGGGUAUUGGGUGGAACAAUCCUACAUCUACAGUUUGAUUAUUUACAGUUCCACAUUAUUCUUUUCUUAAAUGAGAAAUAACUCUUGAAUUAUGAUUACAUCAGAAUGGAUCAGUUUUACGUUAAAACUUUA
Molecule: long non-coding RNA, 808 nt
Organism: Carya illinoinensis
Lineage: Eukaryota; Viridiplantae; Streptophyta; Magnoliopsida; Fagales; Juglandaceae
Exons: 3
Source: RefSeq, a predicted model, not a curated record